Molecule: small RNA, 1424 nt
Filed under: Cryptococcus neoformans H99
Lineage: Eukaryota; Fungi; Basidiomycota; Tremellomycetes; Tremellales; Cryptococcaceae
Description: Cryptococcus neoformans var. grubii H99 hypothetical RNA
Source: RNAcentral
GUAUUCCCCACCAACACGCGUUACUCCUUCCAAGGUUCUGCAUCCAGCUGAACUCACGGCACCUGCAGAGGAGUUUGAGCUCUGAAGACUUGGAGGACCUAUGGGCUAAGCUCGACACUAUCUUGUGGGAGGAAGUAAUAAGAAUGCGGAUGCGUCAGAGAGAGGACUCGGUGGGAAGAAGAGGUUCUGGCGAGGCUGCUCUCAAAAUUGCCGGCCAGAAUGGGCGGGCUAGGUUUGCUUUCCUUCAAAUACAUCGCUCCUCUUGCUUACUGAUCGGCUUGCGAGUCUUUUGAUCUCCUCCUGAGCAAUCUCGGCCUAAUCCCGACUGCAGAAGAGCCCUCCCCUGCUAUCACUCAACGCACUGUUGCGCCGAGCUCUGGGAUACCCAACGUGAAACAAUGCCCCAAAAUCUCAACGACAUUCAACGCAAGAGACUGACCGAGAAUUCCUCCAAGCUCGGCCGCAGCUGUCUGUCCACUAUCCCCUUCAACCAACCACUACGACUUUCCAAUACCGACGUGGCUUCAGCCCUCCAUGAUCGCAGUCUGGCCGGAUCCUCCAUCCCCACUUGUAGCUUCUGCGGGCUAUCGCUUCGUUUGGGCAUGACGAUCCAUGCUGCUCUCGCAACCCAUGGACUCAACGACGCCAUGACGCCAUCAACCGAACCAUACAUCAACAUCUCAACCAGGUUAAGGGCGCUGUUGUCGAAAUUGAGCCGAAGCGACGGAGUGGGAAGAGGAGGAUACGUUAGACCUUGGCUCUCUUGGGUGUUGACUGACAUAUCAUCAAUCAACAUUCACCCCAUCUAUGACCAUCUGUGAAACCAUGCUCGACAUUAGAUCGAGAUAAAAUGCUGUCACUGUUGUGACGGCGAGCCAUUGCAUGGAAUGCCUCUCCAAGCCAUUCGGCAGCGCAUCAUAUUUCGCAGCACGCCGCUCUUCCUGUAUGAGUUGAGAAUUGUUGGCAAAGGAUGCAGUUAGUCCUUGUAAUGUGGUGUUGAUGUUAUAUGUGGCCUUAAACAAGGCAGUGAAGUUGGUAGAGAGAUAAUCGGAAAGUUCAGAGAUAAGUUGCCUUGCAUCCUCGCUCAUGCUUGCUUACGCGCUUUGCGCUUCUGCAAGCACCUUCGCUUCAAAGGCAAGGAAAGCGGGGGUGUAUAUAGCAGAACGGAAGAAGAAGACGUGAGGCGGAGAAGACGGGAUAAUUGGGCCGAUAAAGAUUAGCCGAGGAGACGAGAAUGAAGAGAGGAAGAGAGGAGGGGAAAAGAAACCGGAUCAGAAGAUACCCUCGGGAGAUCAGAGUCGGAGAGAGAAAGAGGAAAAGUGAUGCUCAAGGAGGAUAAAGAUUGGGCAGCUGUACAUUUAGGAAAAGAUAUAUAAAGAGCUCUUCGUGUAGACGAAAUGAAAGACAAUCUUAAUAUCCUUCAC